ACGCGUGGAUAAUCUGCCCUUUAGUUGGGAAUAACUCAUCGAAAGGUGGGCUAAUACCGAAUAAUACUGGAUGGCCUCGGCUGUCCAGUCAAAGAUGGCCUCUGCUUGCAAGCUGUCGCUGAAGGAUGAGUCCGCGUACCAUUAGCUUGUUGGUAGGGUAAUGGCCUACCAAGGCGACGAUGGUUAGCUGGUCUGAGAGGAUGAUCAGCCACACUGGAACUGAGAUACGGUCCAGACUCCUACGGGAGGCAGCAGUGAGGAAUCUUGCGCAAUGGGGGCAACCCUGACGCAGCAACGCCGCGUGAGUGAGGAAGGCCUUCGGGUCGUAAAGCUCUGUCGGUUGGGAAGAAAUGCAUGGAGGUGAAUAGUCUUCAUGCUUGACGGUACCAAUAAAGGAAGCACCGGCUAACUCCGUGCCAGCAGCCGCGGUAAUACGGGGGGUGCAAGCGUUGUUCGGAAUCAUUGGGCGUAAAGAGCGUGUAGGCGGUUAGAUAAGUCAGAUGUGAAAGCCCUGGGCUCAACCCAGGAAGUGCAUUUGAAACUGUCUUACUUGAGUACGGGAGAGGAAAGUGGAAUUCCUGGUGUAGAGGUGAAAUUCGUAGAUAUCAGGAGGAACACCGGUGGCGAAGGCGACUUUCUGGCCCGACACUGACGCUGAGACGCGAGAGCGUGGGUAGCAAACAGGAUUAGAUACCCUGGUAGUCCACGCCGUAAACGAUGUUCACUAGGUGUUGGGGGUAUUGACCCCCUCAGUGCCGCAGCUAACGCAUUAAG
Molecule: ribosomal RNA, 774 nt
Filed under: uncultured bacterium
Lineage: Bacteria
Description: bacterial SSU rRNA
Rfam family: Bacterial small subunit ribosomal RNA
Source: RNAcentral